RNAcentral lists this transfer RNA (60 nucleotides) under Clerus dealbatus. RNAcentral's name for it is "tRNA-Cys". Lineage: Eukaryota; Metazoa; Arthropoda; Insecta; Coleoptera; Cleridae. The record is from RNAcentral.
AAUCUAAAUAUUCAACAAUGAUUUUAAAUUGCAAAUUUAAAGGUAAAUAUUUAAUUUUUU